CCUACGGGUGGCAGCAGUGAGGAAUAUUGGUCAAUGGGCGCGAGCCUGAACCAGCCAAGUAGCGUGAAGGAUGACUGCCCUACGGGUUGUAAACUUCUUUUAUAAAGGAAUAAGGUGUGGCACGUGCUCCUUUUUGUAUGUACUUUAUGAAUAAGGAUCGGCUCACACCGUGCCAGCAGCCGCGGUCAUACGGAGGAUUCGCGCGUUAUCCGGAUUUAGUGGGUUUAAAGGGAGCGUAGAAGGGUUGGUAAGUCAGUUGUGAAAGUUUGCGGCUAAACCGUAAAAUUGCAAUGGAUACUGGCAGCCUUGAGUACAGUUGAGGUAGGCGGAAUUCGUGGUGUAGCGGUGAAAUGCUUAGAUAUCACGAAGAACUCCGAUUGCGAAGGCAGCCUACUAAACUGCCACUGACAUUGAUGCUCGAAAGUGUGGGUAGCAAACAGGAUUAGAUACCCGAGUAGUC
Molecule: ribosomal RNA, 460 nt
Filed under: uncultured bacterium
Lineage: Bacteria
Description: partial 16S ribosomal RNA
Rfam family: Bacterial small subunit ribosomal RNA
Source: RNAcentral